UGGGUUAUUGGCUCAGUGGCAGAGUGCUUGCCUCACACAUAUGAGGCACUGGGUUUGAUCCUCAGUACCACAU
Molecule: transfer RNA, 73 nt
Filed under: Marmota monax (woodchuck)
Lineage: Eukaryota; Metazoa; Chordata; Mammalia; Rodentia; Sciuridae
Description: tRNA.Val
Source: RNAcentral